AGUAACGCGUGGGUAACCUGCCUCAUACAGGGGGAUAACAGUUAGAAACGACUGCUAAUACCGCAUAAGCCCACGGCUCGGCAUCGAGCAGAGGGAAAAGGAGCAAUCCGCUUUGAGAUGGCCUCGCGUCCGAUUAGCUAGUUGGUGAGGUAAUGGCCCACCAAGGCGACGAUCGGUAGCCGGACUGAGAGGUUGAACGGCCACAUUGGGACUGAGACACGGCCCAG
Molecule: ribosomal RNA, 227 nt
Filed under: uncultured bacterium
Lineage: Bacteria
Description: partial 16S ribosomal RNA
Rfam family: Bacterial small subunit ribosomal RNA
Source: RNAcentral